UCUUCAUUCCUCACACUCUCUCGCCGGUCAGUGAGGCGAGUGAGUGUGCGGAAUGAAGAGA
Pristionchus pacificus is the source of this 61-nucleotide non-coding RNA. The record is from Rfam. NCBI's taxonomy places the organism in Eukaryota, Metazoa, Nematoda, Chromadorea, Rhabditida, Neodiplogasteridae.